RNAcentral lists this long non-coding RNA (253 nucleotides) under Homo sapiens (human). Its description in RNAcentral is "HSALNT0295706". Lineage: Eukaryota; Metazoa; Chordata; Mammalia; Primates; Hominidae. The record is from RNAcentral.
GCCGUUCCGGUCACCGCGACGGUAGCCUGACGGGGUCAAAUCCAAAGCCGCGGGGCGCCCCUCAGAGGCGACGAAAACUAAGGCUUCUUCUUCUGCAUUGUACAGGAUCAGGAAGAAAGGAAGGGGAAAAUGUGAAGUGUUUCUCUAUUUAAUGAAUCAGCUGUGGCCAACUUGUUCAGAUGCGUCUGGACUUUCUUCCUUCCAGUGGGUUUGUGGUCUUGCUUGACUUUAGGAGUGAAGCCGCAGACCUUCG